AUACGGAGUGUGCAAGCGUUACUCGGAAUCACUGGGCGUAAAGCGCGCGCAGGCGGCUAUUUAAGUUGGAUGUGAAAGCCUACGGCUCAACCGUAGAACUGCACCCAAAACUAUUUAGCUAGAGUGUGAGAGAGGAAGAUGGAAUUAGUUGUGUAGGGGUAAAAUCCGUAGAGAUAACUAGGAAUACCAAAAGCGAAGGCAAUCUUCUGGAACACUACUGACGCUGAGGCGCGAAAGCGUGGGGAGCAAACAGAAUUAGAAACCCUAGUAGUCC
RNAcentral lists this ribosomal RNA (274 nucleotides) under uncultured bacterium. RNAcentral describes it as "partial 16S ribosomal RNA". It matches the Rfam family "Bacterial small subunit ribosomal RNA", at positions 523 to 796 of the family's 1533-position model. The record is from RNAcentral.